This is a small RNA of 86 nucleotides. It matches the Rfam family "sroD RNA". From Rfam's summary of the family: This family consists of a number of bacterial sroD RNA genes of around 90 bases in length. sroD is found in several Enterobacterial species but its function is unknown. The record is from Rfam.
UUACGUGACGAAGCGCGCGGCAAAGUAGACAAUAAGGUCUAAGCUUCGAGUGAGUCGCCCAACGCCGGUUAGCCCGGCGUUUUUUA